AUUGAACGCUGGCGGCAGGCCUAACACAUGCAAGUCGAACGGUAACAUGAAGCAGCUUGCUGCUUUGCUGACGAGUGGCUGACGUGUGAGUAAUGUCUGGGAAACUGCCUGAUUGAGGGGGAUAACUACUGGAAACGGUAGCUAAUACCGCAUAACGUCGCAAGACCAAAGAGGGUGACCUUCUGGCCUCUUGCCAUCGGAUGUUCCCAGAUGGGAUUAGCUAGUAGGUGGGGUAACGGCUCACCUAGGCGACGAUCCCUAGCUGGUCUGAGAGGAUGACCAGCCACACUGGAACUGAGACACGGUCCAGACUCCUAAGGGAGGAAGCAGUGGGGAAUAUUGCACAAUGGGCGAAAGCCUGAUGCAGCCAUGCCGCGUGUAUGAAGAAGGACUUCGGGUUGUAAAGUACUUUCAGCGGGGAGGAAGGGAGUAAAGUUAAUACCUUUGCUCAUUGACGUUACCCGAAGAAGAAGCACCGGCUAACUACGUG
RNAcentral lists this ribosomal RNA (490 nucleotides) under uncultured bacterium. RNAcentral describes it as "partial 16S ribosomal RNA". It matches the Rfam family "Bacterial small subunit ribosomal RNA", at positions 30 to 507 of the family's 1533-position model. The record is from RNAcentral.